UAUUUUCUCUUUUUUGGACAAAAGUCUGUUCUUUUUAAAUCAGCAGUGAUACAUUAAUUUCUGGUAGCAUUCACAAGCAUUACACAACUGGAAGCUUGGUAAACCUUGUAAUCUCUUUCAUUAUUUCUGUGUUGGAGGUAAGGGGAUCAUCUGGCCCUGACAUGCCACGUGUCCUUGCUAAUAACAUGUGUUACUUGCUGCUGGUUGUCCAUCUGCACAGCUCUUUAAUGUGUCCCACAACACAACCAAACCGCAUGGUUAACCAGUAUCCAGGGUCUCCGGUGGUCAAUGGUUGUGAGCUGCAGUAAAGCAGAAGCUGUCAUCUGUACGAGGUGUGGAACCACUUCCAAAGAUGCAUCCAGUGAAAGUGAAAGCAAAGCUUGCCCACCAACGUGGAGAGGAUUUCAUUGUCCGAAGAAAUUGCCUCAGCAAAAAGGCUGGCAUGGAGAUCUGUGUAGACUCGGACAGGCUCUGCAUUAUCCAUAACAUCAAUACGACAUCUUGCAGAAUUUGAAAUCGCUGCCUUUCUCUCUGAGUUAGUGAAAAAACAAACAAGGUUUGAAAAUACUUUGAGAAAGAGGAUUCGUUUGCCUUCUCGUAGAAGUAAGUAAUUCCACUCCCUUUUUGUCGCUGCUGGUUUUCCCUAGAGCACAAGCAGAAAAGUGUGAGGAGGCUCCCCAGGCCCCGUCUCCUUUGCCCCCUUGCAGCUGUUGCAAGGCAACAGAGAUGCGGCCUGGGGAGCCUUCUCACACUUCCAGGUGAAAUGAAAUGAGCGCUCAUUUUGUUUUCCCCUUGAAGAGGCAGUUUUAUACAGAAGAACAGUGCUGUGGCAUAAUCUGUUCUCUAGAGAUAAGUGGCCAGUUUGGGGGUGGGGGCUGGGUUCUGGCUUUGUUUUUUUUCUUUUUUCUUUUUCCUGAACUAGACCAGACGUGCUUGGCAACUUGUGUAGUAAUACAACUAUGACUGAUAGACUUUCAGGUCUUCUAGCUCCUGUAUAAUUCAUUAUGCUUUUAAGUACAACUACUAGCUGGUUCGUAUAUUAURAACAUAUACAUUUAAUUAUAUGCAAUUAUAAUUUUAUACAUACAUACAUAUAUAUAAAAAAGAGCUAAGCCAAUGAAUGAACUGCCAUCUGAUUGCCAUACCUUUUAAUCUUUCAACUAAAGAUUAUCUGUCACUAAAUGAUAAAUUGAAAGUGUGUAAAAUAAAAAUUGAGAGUUAAAAAUAACUAACGCA
Molecule: long non-coding RNA, 1236 nt
Filed under: Dromaius novaehollandiae (emu)
Lineage: Eukaryota; Metazoa; Chordata; Aves; Casuariiformes; Dromaiidae
Description: lncRNA (ENSDNVG00000000602.1)
Source: RNAcentral